Molecule: transfer RNA, 77 nt
Filed under: Syntrophorhabdus sp. PtaU1.Bin058
Lineage: Bacteria; Pseudomonadati; Thermodesulfobacteriota; Syntrophorhabdia; Syntrophorhabdales; Syntrophorhabdaceae
Also listed under: 4 other names
Description: tRNA-Asn
Rfam family: tRNA
About the family: Transfer RNA (tRNA) molecules are approximately 80 nucleotides in length. Their secondary structure includes four short double-helical elements and three loops (D, anti-codon, and T loops).
Source: RNAcentral
UCCCCGGUAGCUCAAUCGGCAGUAGCGGCUGGCUGUUAACCAGUAGGUUGCAGGUUCGAGUCCUGCCCGGGGAGCCA